RNAcentral lists this long non-coding RNA (560 nucleotides) under Brassica napus (rape). Its description in RNAcentral is "long non-coding RNA (BNAP_LNC008017)". The record is from RNAcentral. Lineage: Eukaryota; Viridiplantae; Streptophyta; Magnoliopsida; Brassicales; Brassicaceae.
AACAGUAAUUGUUUUUUUUUAAUAAAACCUACAUAUAACUAAAUAAACCAAAUGAUUCAAUAGUGAAAUUAAUAAAUAACACAAAUGUAUUGAUAAAUUAGUUUAACAAAUGGCACACUAAACUACCCCCGACAAAUUACAGAACCGUUACCAAUAUAGGAAUAUCCUUUUUAAUACCAAAAAUAAUUUACAUCCCCCCUCCACCACAUUACAAAAACCAUUCUCAUAAUUAACUCAAUAAAAUUUUACGAUAAUUACACUAGCAUGCCAAAAAUAAAAUGUCUUAUUUAACAUAUAUUUUACAUGACUAUAUAAAUCAAAAUUUCCAUCACAAAAAAAAAACAACAAUCUCUUACACAAAAUAAGUUAAAAAAUGAAUGCAUAUAAACCAUUAUCAAGUUUUGAACAACUUCUUCGAGAUAUCCAAUGAGAUAUCAUAUCUAGAAUUAUGCAGUCAUAAAAAACCAUCACCAACAUGUCAUGCAAUCAUUAUACAUUGGCUAAAACUGCUUAAAACAGUUGUAUUGACAUGAUUCAACACCAAAACUAUUAAACAUUUA